CCCCGGCGAGGGGAGUGAAAAAGAACCUGAAACCGUGUACGUACAAGCAGUGGGAGCCUCUUAAUGGGGUGACUGCGUACCUUUUGUAUAAUGGGUCAGCGACUUAUAUUCUGUAGCAAGGUUAACCGAAUAGGGGAGCCGAAGGGAAACCGAGUCUUAACUGGGCGUUAAGUUGCAGGGUAUAGACCCGAAACCCGGUGAUCUAGCCAUGGGCAGGUUGAAGGUUGGGUAACACUAACUGGAGGACCGAACCGACUAAUGUUGAAAAAUUAGCGGAUGACUUGUGGCUGGGGGUGAAAGGCCAAUCAAACCGGGAGAUAGCUGGUUCUCCCCGAAAGCUAUUUAGGUAGCGCCUCGUGAAUUCAUCUCCGGGGGUAGAGCACUGUUUCGGCAAGGGGGUCAUCCCGACUUACCAACCCGAUGCAAACUGCGAAUACCGGAGAAUGUUAUCACGGGAGACACACGGCGGGUGCUAACGUCCGUCGUGAAGAGGGAAACAACCCAGACCGCCAGCUAAGGUCCCAAAGUCAUGGUUAAGUGGGAAACGAUGUGGGAAGGCCCAGACAGCCAGGAUGUUGGCUUAGAAGCAGCCAUCAUUUAAAGAAAGCGUAAUAGCUCACUGGUCGAGUCGGCCUGCGCGGAAGAUGUAACGGGGCUAAACCAUGCACCGAAGCUGCGGCAGCGACGCUUAUGCGUUGUUGGGUAGGGGAGCGUUCUGUAAGCCUGUGAAGGUGUGCUGUGAGGCAUGCUGGAGGUAUCAGAAGUGCGAAUGCUGACAUAAGUAACGAUAAAGCGGGUGAAAAGCCCGCUCGCCGGAAGACCAAGGGUUCCUGUCCAACGUUAAUCGGGGCAGGGUGAGUCGACCCCUAAGGCGAGGCCGAAAGGCGUAGUCGAUGGGAAACAGGUUAAUAUUCCUGUACUUGGUGUUACUGCGAAGGGGGGACGGAGAAGGCUAUGUUGGCCGGGCGACGGUUGUCCCGGUUUAAGCGUGUAGGCUGGUUUUCCAGGCAAAUCCGGAAAACCAAGGCUGAGGCGUGAUGACGAGGCACUACGGUGCUGAAGCGACAAAUGCCCUGCUUCCAGGAAAAGCCUCUAAGCAUCAGGUAACAUCAAAUCGUACCCCAAACCGACACAGGUGGUCAGGUAGAGAAUACCAAGGCGCUUGAGAGAACUCGGGUGAAGGAACUAGGCAAAAUGGUGCCGUAACUUCGGGAGAAGGCACGCUGAUAUGUAGGUGAAGCGACUUGCUCGUGGAGCUGAAAUCAGUCGAAGAUACCAGCUGGCUGCAACUGUUUAUUAAAAACACAGCACUGUGCAAACACGAAAGUGGACGUAUACGGUGUGACGCCUGCCCGGUGCCGGAAGGUUAAUUGAUGGGGUUAGCGGCAACGCGAAGCUCUUGAUCGAAGCCCCGGUAAACGGCGGCCGUAACUAUAACGGUCCUAAGGUAGCGAAAUUCCUUGUCGGGUAAGUUCCGACCUGCACGAAUGGCGUAAUGAUGGCCAGGCUGUCUCCACCCGAGACUCAGUGAAAUUGAACUCGCUGUGAAGAUGCAGUGUACCCGCGGCAAGACGGAAAGACCCCGUGAACCUUUACUAUAGCUUGACACUGAACAUUGAGCCUUGAUGUGUAGGAUAGGUGGGAGGCUUUGAAGUGUGGACGCCAGUCUGCAUGGAGCCGACCUUGAAAUACCACCCUUUAAUGUUUGAUGUUCUAACGU
Molecule: ribosomal RNA, 1720 nt
Filed under: Escherichia coli
Lineage: Bacteria; Pseudomonadati; Pseudomonadota; Gammaproteobacteria; Enterobacterales; Enterobacteriaceae
Description: bacterial LSU rRNA
Rfam family: Bacterial large subunit ribosomal RNA
Source: RNAcentral